RNAcentral lists this long non-coding RNA (1564 nucleotides) under Nicotiana tabacum (common tobacco). RNAcentral's name for it is "long non-coding RNA (NTAB_LNC017703)". Lineage: Eukaryota; Viridiplantae; Streptophyta; Magnoliopsida; Solanales; Solanaceae. The record is from RNAcentral.
CCCAUUAAAUUUAAAUUCUGGAUUCGAUUUGUGUAGAACUUAAACUCUAAUCGGAAAACAUUGUUCCUCCAUCGAAUAAUUAUGAAACACGAAAAAUUAAAGAAAAAUAAAAUAGUUGUGAAACAUGAACAAAUGGUGGACAAUGAUAGCAACUGAUACAUAUAUUAAGAUACUUUGUCAAGGAGAAAUGAGAAGAAACAGGUAAAAGUAAAACUAAAUAGUGCUGCUUUCUCUCAUUUUUCAUCCUUUUAGUAUGAUCAAAACCUAAACUACUUUAUUAUCUAACUUUUUGUGGUUUACCUUGGCUUUCUUAGAAGGCUUUGGCACAUCUUCAACUUGUUUAGAUCCCAAAGUAACAUGCUGUUCUUCAGAAUUUUGGGGUAAAUUCCAAUUUAACUCAUGAUCAAUAAUAUCCCAGUUGAUAUUCUUUAAUUUCUCAAUCAUUCCAUCUGACAACACAACUCUUGAAGCACACCCUUCUUUGAUCACCUUCAUCCUGUCUUCUCCUAAUUUACCGUAAACAUUAUAUUCUUAAGAACAAAUCAAUCAAAAAAGGGAAACAGAAAAGAAAUGUUCUUUUUCUUUUUUGUAUGUAAAUUUUCCUAUAAAAUUACAUUGUUUAUACAUGUAGACCAACUAGCUAGAUCUCUAUCUUUGGUAAGUUUGUAACAUUAGUUUCUCACUUCUGAUUUAUUUCCGAAAAUAUUGUAUAGACUAUACAUGGGUGGAAAAUGUAUUGAUAUUGACCAGAUAUAUAGCAACUGUACACGUAUUGUAAAAAUAAUUUUCCUAAUUUGCGUGUCAAGAUUAACAGCAUGUAACUCUUCAAAUAUGUGACCUUUGAAUUCUAGAGAUAUUUGUCUUUUUUUACUACAUUCAACUCAUUUACUUCUUCUUUUUUCCUUUAAAUAUUUCAUUGUCACACUAUGUGUGGGGUUCAAUCCAUCUUGUUUAACAUCAGUAGAUACACACAUACCAACCUAAAAAAAAAAUACUAAUACAAAUGUUAGUUUUUGGAUUCAUAUUCUCAAAAAACUCCAAAUCUAUUUUUCUAAAAAUUUUAAAAAACUCAGAACCAUGAACCCGUUAAGUUAGUACAUACCUUAGGCCAUAGCGAGACGCACAAAUCACUGUGACUUUGUGUUUGUGAGUACACCAACAAAAGCAAAAACUCAAGGAAAGUGGGCAGAAUUAUGCUUAUAACAUCGGGUCUGUAUAUAGGUUUAGAUGUGGUUAGUUUUAGUUUAAUUAGGAUCCUAGGUUUUCCCAACUUCUAGCAGUACUAGUUUAAUUUUCCAGUAAAAUCAGGAAAGAACUUUGUACUUAAUCCUGUGGCUUAUGUACCUUCAUAUAAUGUCGGGGAAAAGAGACCUCAAAUCAUAGGUUAAAUUAGCAAAGCAAAGUGUUCCCCCAAAAAAAAACAAUAAUUAGCAAAGGGAAGUAGGGUAAAUCAGGAUUCUGAAUGCCCAGCCCUACUAGGAAAAAUAGGCUUUUUAAAAAUAAAAAUAAAAUAUCCGCACUGGUUUUUGUUUCUUUUUUAAUUUAUAAUAUACGGAUUGCUUCU